This 253-nucleotide ribosomal RNA is filed under the name uncultured bacterium. RNAcentral describes it as "partial 16S ribosomal RNA". It matches the Rfam family "Bacterial small subunit ribosomal RNA", at positions 524 to 776 of the family's 1533-position model. The record is from RNAcentral.
UACGAAGGGGGCUAGCGUUGCUCGGAAUUACUGGGCGUAAAGGGAGCGUAGGCGGAUAGUUCAGUCAGAGGUGAAAGCCCAGGGCUCAACCUUGGAAUUGCCUUUGAUACUGGCUGUCUUGAGUAUGGGAGAGGUUAGCGGAACUCCGAGUGUAGAGGUGAAAUUCGUAGAUAUUCGGAAGAACACCAGUGGCGAAGGCGGCUAACUGGCCCAUUACUGACGCUGAGGCACGAAAGCGUGGGGAGCAAACAGG